Molecule: ribosomal RNA, 475 nt
Filed under: uncultured bacterium
Lineage: Bacteria
Description: bacterial SSU rRNA
Rfam family: Bacterial small subunit ribosomal RNA
Source: RNAcentral
GAUGAACGCUAGCGGCAGGCUUAAUACAUGCAAGUCAAGGGGGUAGCAAUACAACCGGCGCACGGGUGAGUAACGCGUACACAACAUACCAUAUACUGGGGUAUAGCUUCGGGAAACUGGAGAUAAUCCCCCAUAACAUUGCGAGAGGGCAUCUGAUUGCAAUUAAAGUUUCGACGGUAUAUGAUUGGUGUGCGUUUGAUUAGCUUGUUGGUAGGGUAACGGCCUACCAAGGCGACGAUCAAUAGCUGGCGUGAGAGCGCGACCAGCCACACUGGAACUGAGACACGGUCCAGACUCCUACGGGAGGCAGCAGUAGGGAAUAUUGGACAAUGGGCGAAAGCCUGAUCCAGCCAUGCCGCGUGAUAGAUGAAGGCCCUCUGGGUUGUAAAUAUCUUUUAUCUGGGAAGAAACUCCUCUAUUCUUAGAGGCCUGACGGUACCAGAGGAAUAAGCACCGGCUAACUCCGUGCCAGCAG